AGUUUGAUCAUGGCUCAGGAUGAACGCUAGCGGCAGGCCUAAUACAUGCAAGUCGAACGGUAAGUAUGAUAGCAAUAUUAUACGAGAGUGACGUACGGGUGCGUAACACGUAUGCAACCUACCCUUUACAGGCGGAUAGCUCGGGGAAACUCGAAUUAACCCGUCAUAAUAUAAUUGGAUGGCAUCAUUUGAUUAUUAAAACUCCGGUGGUAAAGGAUGGGCAUGCGUCUGAUUAGUUAGUUGGCGGGGUAACGGCCCACCAAGACGAUGAUCAGUAGGGGAACUGAGAGGUUGAUCCCCCACACUGGCACUGAGAUACGGGCCAGACUCCUACGGGAGGCAGCAGUAGGGAAUAUUGGUCAAUGGAUGGAAGUCUGAACCAGCCAUGCCGCGUGCAGGAAGAAGGCCUUCUGGGUUGUAAACUGCUUUUGUCAGGGGAUAAAAAUUCCUUGCGAGGAAGAUUGAAGGUACCUGGCGAAUAAGCCACGGCUAACUACGUGCCAGCAGCCGCGGUAAUACGUAGGUGGCAAGCGUUGUCCGGAUUUAUUGGGUUUAAAGGGUGCGUAGGCGGCUUUGUAAGUCAGUGGUGAAAUAUCGCAGCUUAACUGUGAGGGUGCCAUUGAUACUGCGGAGCUUGAGUACAGAUGAGGUAGGCGGAAUUGACGGUGUAGCGGUGAAAUGCUCAGAUAUCGUCAAGAACACCUAUAGCGAAGGCAGCUUACUAGGCUGUAACUGACGCUGAGGCACGAA
This 750-nucleotide ribosomal RNA is filed under the name uncultured bacterium. RNAcentral describes it as "bacterial SSU rRNA". It matches the Rfam family "Bacterial small subunit ribosomal RNA", at positions 10 to 757 of the family's 1533-position model. The record is from RNAcentral.